This 512-nucleotide ribosomal RNA is filed under the name uncultured bacterium. Its description in RNAcentral is "partial 16S ribosomal RNA". It matches the Rfam family "Bacterial small subunit ribosomal RNA", at positions 28 to 507 of the family's 1533-position model. The record is from RNAcentral.
GACGAACGCUGGCGGCGUGCCUAAUACAUGCAAGUCGAGCGAGCGGAACUAACAGAUUUACCUCGGUAAUGACGUUAGGAAAGCGAGCGGCGGAUGGGUGAGUAACACGUGGGGAACCUGCCCCAUAGUCUGGGAUACCACUUGGAAACAGGUGCUAAUACCGGAUAAGAAAGCAGAUCGCAUGAUCAGCUUUUAAAAGGCGGCGUAAGCUGUCGCUAUGGGAUGGCCCCGCGGUGCAUUAGCUAGUUGGUAAGGUAAAGGCUUACCAAGGCGAUGAUGCAUAGCCGAGUUGAGAGACUGAUCGGCCACAUUGGGACUGAGACACGGCCCAAACUCCUACGGGAGGCAGCAGUAGGGAAUCUUCCACAAUGGACGCAAGUCUGAUGGAGCAACGCCGCGUGAGUGAAGAAGGUUUUCGGAUCGUAAAGCUCUGUUGUUGGUGAAGAAGGAUAGAGGUAGUAACUGGCCUUUAUUUGACGGUAAUCAACCAGAAAGUCACGGCUAACUACGUG